RNAcentral lists this long non-coding RNA (272 nucleotides) under Mytilus galloprovincialis (Mediterranean mussel). The record is from RNAcentral. Lineage: Eukaryota; Metazoa; Mollusca; Bivalvia; Mytilida; Mytilidae.
AGCCUAGUCCUGGAACACAAAACUCUUGUAGCGAUAUUUACAUUUUCCUUAAUUUUCGUAUUUUCUUUUCAUUCAUUUUGCAAAUUUGCUAUAUAUAUGCAUUGCUUUUAUUAUCAAGCUUCCACCGAGCUUCGUUUUAAAAAAAAAAAGAAAUAAAUCACGAAAAUAUCAGCUUAAAAUCAUUUAUGAAAAGAUGACUCCGAGGCAUAUUUGUAAGACUAGCUUGACCCAUAAAACUAUACAUGUAACCUAUUAUUAUUAAUUCCUGCCAG